Galeopterus variegatus (Sunda flying lemur) is the source of this 716-nucleotide long non-coding RNA. RefSeq lists it as uncharacterized. The transcript has 4 exons. NCBI's taxonomy places the organism in Eukaryota, Metazoa, Chordata, Mammalia, Dermoptera, Cynocephalidae. The record is from RefSeq and is a predicted model, not a curated record.
UGAAUGAUGGCGGAGCUGAGUGGCUUGUCAUCAUUCUCGAAAAUUCUGAGGCUAGUGAGCUCUCUCUCCCUCUCCCACUCGCCUUAUUUUCCUUUUCGCCACUGCGGGGACUUUUUCUAAUUUGCAGCUUCCCUUUCCCCGACACACACAGACACGAGCUGGUGGCUUGCAGACUGCGUCUGUCUGGAGUGAGAGAGCCGGAGAGCCAGUCCCAGGGACCAUGCUCCUGGAGCAGGGUUCUGCAGCAGUUCUCAAAGGCUAGACUUGGGUGGUAUUGCUGCAUAUGAGCUGAUUCUUCAGCUUGUUGUCUCUAACCGAGGAAGCGUUGAUUGAGAACCACUCAUUCAGAAAAUUAAAAGAAAGAAGCCAGAACAUAUUAUCAGCCCUUUGAGAACACAACAUAACGAACUUGACUAUUUUACCACUUCCUUCAAUAGGAGAAGUGACAGGGCUUUGAAGAAUGGCAGAUGAACGGAAAGAUGAAGCAAAGGCACCUCAUUGGACCUCAGCUCAACUAACAGAGGCAUCUGCGCAUCCACAUCCGCCUGAGAUUAAGGAUCAAGGUGGGGCAGGGGAAGGACUGGUCCGGAGCGCCAAUGGCUUCCCAUACAGGGAAGAUGAAGAGGGUGCCUUUGGAGACCACGGGUCACAGGUCUCCUAUGCAGAUACCAGAGAGAAUGGAAUCAACGGAGAGCUGACCUCAGCUGACAGAGAAA